GAAAAAAAAAAACAACAACAACUAAUUUUUCCAACCAGUAGCUUACUCAUGCGUGAAAUCCAGUCCAUAUCAUUUUCUAAAUACUAUAUAGCAUGUAUAAACUUUGAACAUAUAUUUGGAAGGAAAACAUAGAAUGGGUUUAAAGCGUAUACAAACAAGGCAAUAGAAAAUGAAACUGCUUUGAAAAAGUGAUUAGGUUAGGCACUUGAAAAGUCUUUAUGCUAUUGUCAUCAAAGAUGUGAAUAAUGGAGAUUAUGUGAAGUUGAGUACAAUCUUCAAGACUUAAGAACAGAUCAUGAGAAUUUGAGAAACAACUAUGAUGAGGCAAUUCAUAUGUUGAAGGGAAACUUGGGGAGAGAGAGUGCUACAUAUCAGACCUGCACAAUUACUGA
Molecule: unclassified non-coding RNA, 392 nt
Filed under: Hevea brasiliensis (rubber tree)
Lineage: Eukaryota; Viridiplantae; Streptophyta; Magnoliopsida; Malpighiales; Euphorbiaceae
Source: RNAcentral